Molecule: ribosomal RNA, 474 nt
Filed under: Xanthomonas oryzae pv. oryzae
Lineage: Bacteria; Pseudomonadati; Pseudomonadota; Gammaproteobacteria; Lysobacterales; Lysobacteraceae
Description: bacterial LSU rRNA
Rfam family: Bacterial large subunit ribosomal RNA
Source: RNAcentral
UCCCAAGGCUAAAUACUCCCUAGUGAUCGAUAGUGAACCAGUACCGUGAGGGAAAGGUGAAAAGCACCCCGGAAGGGGAGUGAAAGAGAUCCUGAAACCGUGUGCCUACAAAUAGUCAGAGCCCGUUAACGGGUGAUGGCGUGCCUUUUGUAGAAUGAACCGGCGAGUUACGAUCCCGUGCGAGGUUAAGCUGAAGAGGCGGAGCCGCAGCGAAAGCGAGUCUGAAUAGGGCGUUUAGUACGUGGUCGUAGACCCGAAACCAGGUGAUCUACCCAUGUCCAGGGUGAAGUUCAGGUAACACUGAAUGGAGGCCCGAACCCACGCACGUUGAAAAGUGCGGGGAUGAGGUGUGGGUAGCGGAGAAAUUCCAAUCGAACCUGGAGAUAGCUGGUUCUCCCCGAAAUAGCUUUAGGGCUAGCCUUAAGUGUAAGAGUCUUGGAGGUAGAGCACUGAUUGGACUAGGGGUCCUCAUCG